Long non-coding RNA from Cynoglossus semilaevis (tongue sole), 384 nucleotides. RefSeq lists it as uncharacterized. The record is from RefSeq and is a predicted model, not a curated record. NCBI's taxonomy places the organism in Eukaryota, Metazoa, Chordata, Actinopteri, Pleuronectiformes, Cynoglossidae. The transcript is spliced from 3 exons.
AACUAACCUCAACCUCUCACAUGUAUCACAGAUGAAAAGAAGGCGGGGCUUAAACGUGUGGUUGGAGAUGUUCACUUCGCCUCAGCCAAUCAGAGAGCAGGUUUCAUCACUCCUGUCCCAGGAGGCGUUGGGCCAAUGACGGUGGCCAUGCUGAUGGAGAACACGGUUCGCAGCGCCCAGCGCUUCCUGCAGCAUCAACGUCAUCAUCGUGGUCAUCACAGCAGCUGAAGAACAAAACGGUCUUCUCAAAGUGCCCCCUGCUGGACACCUGUGUUGUAACUUCUCACCUCCAGUUAGACACAAGCGAGGACAGUGCCCUCUAUCUGCAUACUUCUGAAUAAAGGACCUGAUUGAAGAGAAACCCUGAGCGCCACACUGUGGUCA